This 254-nucleotide ribosomal RNA is filed under the name uncultured bacterium. RNAcentral's name for it is "partial 16S ribosomal RNA". It matches the Rfam family "Bacterial small subunit ribosomal RNA", at positions 524 to 776 of the family's 1533-position model. The record is from RNAcentral.
UACGUAGGUGGCUAGCGUUGUCCGGAUUUACUGGGCGUAAAGAGCGCGCAGGCGGUCGUGCAAGUCGCGGGUGAAAGCCCCCGGCUCAACUGGGGAGGGUCACGCGAUACUGCUCGACUCGAAGGCAGGAGAGGGUAGUGGAAUUCCCGGUGUAGUGGUGAAAUGCGUAGAUAUCGGGAGGAACACCAGUGGCGAAGGCGACUACCUGGCCUGUUUCUUGACGCUGAGGCGCGAAAGCUAGGGGAGCAAACGGG